This 460-nucleotide ribosomal RNA is filed under the name uncultured bacterium. RNAcentral's name for it is "partial 16S ribosomal RNA". It matches the Rfam family "Bacterial small subunit ribosomal RNA", at positions 338 to 795 of the family's 1533-position model. The record is from RNAcentral.
CCUACGGGCGGCAGCAGUGAGGAAUAUUGGUCAAUGGACGAGAGUCUGAACCAGCCAAGUAGCGUGAAGGAUGACUGCCCUAUGGGUUGUAAACUUCUUUUAUAUGGGAAUAAAAUGUUCCACGUGUGGGAUUUUGUAUGUACCAUAUGAAUAAGGAUCGGCUAACUCCGUGCCAGCAGCCGCGGUAAUACGGAGGAUCCGAGCGUUAUCCGGAUUUAUUGGGUUUAAAGGGAGCGUAGGUGGAUUGUUAAGUCAGUUGUGAAAGUUUGCGGCUCAACCGUAAAAUUGCAGUUGAAACUGGCAGUCUUGAGUACAGUAGAGGUGGGCGGAAUUCGUGGUGUAGCGGUGAAAUGCUUAGAUAUCACGAAGAACUCCGAUUGCGAAGGCAGUUCACUGGACUGCAACUGACACUGAGGCUCGAAAGUGUGGGUAUCAAACAGGAUUAGAUACCCCAGUAGUU